GAUGAACGCUCGCUACAGGCUUAACACAUGCAAGUCGAGGGGCAGCAUGGUCUUAGCUUGCUAAGGCCGAUGGCGACCGGCGCACGGGUGAGUAACACGUAUCCAACCUGCCGUCUACUCUUGGACAGCCUUCUGAAAGGAAGAUUAAUACAAGAUGGCAUCAUGAGUCCGCAUGUUCACAUGAUUAAAGGUAUUCCGGUAGACGAUGGGGAUGCGUUCCAUUAGAUAGUAGGCGGGGUAACGGCCCACCUAGUCUUCGAUGGAUAGGGGUUCUGAGAGGAAGGUCCCCCACAUGGGAACUGAGACACGGUCCAAACUCCUACGGGAGGCAGCAGUGAGGAAUAUUGGUCAAUGGGCGAGAGCCUGAACCAGCCAAGUAGCGUGAAGGAUGACUGCCCUAUGGGUUGUAAACUUCUUUUAUAAAGGAAUAAAGUCGGGUAGGGAUACCCGUUUGCAUGUACUUGAUGAAUAAGGAUCGGCUAACUCCGUG
Molecule: ribosomal RNA, 490 nt
Filed under: uncultured bacterium
Lineage: Bacteria
Description: partial 16S ribosomal RNA
Rfam family: Bacterial small subunit ribosomal RNA
Source: RNAcentral